Molecule: long non-coding RNA, 776 nt
Organism: Mesocricetus auratus (golden hamster)
Lineage: Eukaryota; Metazoa; Chordata; Mammalia; Rodentia; Cricetidae
Exons: 6
Source: RefSeq, a predicted model, not a curated record
GUAAGUGGCCAUGAAACAGAAAUUAGCUGAGCCUUGAAAUAUGAAGAACUAGAGUAAGGGAGCCUCUGAUAAGAGAAGACACAAGAGUGUGUCUUAGAAGAAGAAACAAAUCAAGAUGUUAUCCUCAGACUCACUCCAGGUUUCAAUCCUUGGAUACUGUGGCUUUGCAGAGAAAGAAGUGACUUUUGAAGCCUUUACCUGUAGGGAGGGCUCAGUGCAGAAUUGUGUCCUGACAAUGAACUUAUCUACCAUCUAUAAGAAGAGAUGGACUCUGCUGGUGUCUUGGGUUUGGAUUACCAGCUGCCAAAACUGAUGAAGGAAAUGCUUGUCUCCAGGAGCUGACACAUCCCUGGUCAUAUUUCAGAUACAAUUAGCCCCCAUUGAUGGUGGUGGCUGAUCUGUCAAGCAUCAGAGUCCUUCCAUCAAAUUCUGGAGGAUAACCAAAAGUACUAGCAGCAGUUUUAAUGUUUAAGGACAGGAACCUACAGAACUACACUUACCAACAACUCCAAAAAGAGAUGAAUAACAUACCAUUCUUUAUGAGUAGUAAAUAUUCAUUAUCCAUUCAUUGGUAAUGCACAUCUAAGCUAUUUCCAUUUCCUGGCUAUUGGAAGGAUGGCAAUGAACAUGGAUACGCAGUUCUCUCUACAGUAGGACACAGGGUCCUUUGGACACAGGCCCAGGGAUUCUAUAACUGAAUAACAUGGACACUGUAUUUCUAGUUUUUUGUGCAAUCUACACACAGAUUUCCAUACUGACUAUUUUAACUUGUAUCC